RNAcentral lists this unclassified non-coding RNA (150 nucleotides) under Sarea difformis. Its description in RNAcentral is "partial internal transcribed spacer 2". Lineage: Eukaryota; Fungi; Ascomycota; Sareomycetes; Sareales; Zythiaceae. The record is from RNAcentral.
CACCACUCAAGCUCAGCUUGGUAUUGGGCCCUCGUCCCCCGGGACGUGCCUCAAAAUCAGUGGCGGUGCCGCCUGACUUCAAGCGCAGUAAUUCAUAACCUCGCUUUGGAAGCUCGGGACGCGUGCCGGCCAUACAACCCCCAUCUUCAA